Long non-coding RNA from Neofelis nebulosa (Clouded leopard), 1741 nucleotides. RefSeq lists it as uncharacterized. Lineage: Eukaryota; Metazoa; Chordata; Mammalia; Carnivora; Felidae. The record is from RefSeq and is a predicted model, not a curated record. The transcript is spliced from 3 exons.
UUUGCCUCACUCCUAGGUUCUGAGAUUUUGUCAGUGGUGUCUUGUCUCUGGAUACUUGCUAGUUGGGGGUCUUCUUAUGAAGGUUCUGAAGUCAUGAAUGAGCUGUGUCACCACAUUGGUGACGUUGCUUCUUUUUUCUUCAGUUUUUUUUUUCCCCUAACCCACUGAGGUUCUUUAAGACAAAGCUUUGACUCAUUGUCAGGACAUUCAUGGAACUCCAUUUCUAUUAGCUGCCCCAGACAACAAAAUGAUGGUAUUUCUCCCUGUUGCUGUCUUACUUUCAUACUCAUCUCAAUCACUGCAUCUUCUUCUCUGGAUUCUGGACUUCUCAUAAAGUAAGCAUGGGAGUAGCAGAGAGCCUCUUAGGAAGUGUUCCUUGAAGGACAACUGUGCUGCUGUUCUACCUUAUGGAAACUUGAAAAAAGUGUAAUGAGACCUCCCAAGAAGCAUAUCUUCAUGAGGGAAAUGAUUUUCUUUUUACUUUCUGAACAAUAAAUGUCUCUUCAGGCUAUGACCACACCUUCUUUAUGAUGGGGUCUAGGUGUGUGUAGACCCCAGCAAAACCUGGUUACUGGGAAAAAGUAGACUAAUGCUUCCUGUUGAGUAUAAUUCUGCCAGAAUAAUAAGUAUCAGAACAUAUUGUGCUGGUUCAGUAUUUGCUUAUGUAAAACCCUUAGAACAGUAACUCACAGAUGUGGGCUUGUAAUUUUUAUUAUUUGUAAAUUAAUUAUCUUUGUUCAUUGUUUUGGUAUGCAUAUGUAUAAUAGCUGCUAAGGUUACAAUAACAAACUACCCCAAAGAAGGUGGUUUAAACAACAGAAUUUUGUUUUCUCGCAGUUCUGGCGGGAAGUCUGAGGUCAAGGUGUUAACUUGGUUUGUUUCCUCUGAGGCCAUUCUCAUUGGCUUGUACGUGGCCAUUUUAUCCCAGUGUCUUCACAUGUUGUUUUUUUUUUUUCUCUCUGUAUGUGCCUGUGUUCUAAUUGCCUCUUGUUAUGAGGGCACUAGUCAUAUUGGCUUAGGGCCCACACUACUAAGUUUAUCUUAUAGUAGUUACUUCUUUAAAGAUCUUACAUCCAAACACAGUCACAUUGUUAAAUUAUGGGAGUUAAGAUGUCAAAAUAUAAAUUUGCAGUUCAUAAAAAUGUGUACUUUUACACGUUGAUGUGUAAGAAAUCUUGUAUUUGAGGAUGUUGAUGAUGUAAUGUUUGGUUAUACAAUGCAUAUACUUCUUAGGUUAAUACUAUGGAUUUGUUUUUCUGCCUUUAAAGAAAUUGGCCCAUUUAGCAGAAGAUAUAAAUAGACAUUUUUCCAAAGAAUGCAUCCAGAUGGUUAGCAGACACAUGAAAAUAUGCUCAAUAUGACUCAUCAUCAGGGAAAUACAAAUGAAAACCACAAUGAGAUACCACCUCACAUCUGUCAGAAUGACUAAAAUUACAACACAGGAAGCAACAGAUGUUGGCGAGGAUGCAGAGAAAGGGGAACACUUUUGCACUGUUGGUGGGAAUGCAAACUGGUGCAGCUACUCUGGGAAACAGUGUGGAGGUUCCUUAAAAAUUAAAAAUAGAACUACUGUACAAUUCAGAAAUUGCACUAUUCGGUAUUUAUCCAAAGGAUACAAAGAUGCUGAUUCAAAGGGGAAUGUGCACCCCUAUGUUUAUAGUAGUGCUAUCAACAAUAACCAAAUUAUGGAAAGAGCCCAAAUGUCCAUCCAGUGAUGAAUGAAUAAAGAAGAUGUAGUAUG